AUGUGGGGCUGGAAGAACACCUGGAUGAGUGAUCAGCCUCCCUGCUCCUGUAGCAGCAUACUGAACAUCUUGCAAUGCUGAAAAUGGCUCACAAUAGCUGGUGGUUUGACUUUGAGAAAAAAUAAGAACUACACAUCAGAUAAAGUUGAAAAAGUAAAACUAUAAACUUACAAUGCUCUUAUUAUUAUUAUUAGGUAAAAGCUUUUCUUGGAAUACUGCUAGAAGACGUAUGUGCUAAUGGGAGAAAGGAUGAAGUGUAUCACAUGGUGGACUUCAUCCUCAACGCCCAGUGAUGAAAUUCGAAGAACCAAAAUGAUACUGGCAAAUGUAGAAAAAGCUGAAGAAAAUCUGGAGCACAAAAUCAUUUGCAGCACACGGGGAUCCCAGGAGGGCAGAGGGAACAUUAAAUCUCAGGAUGCUGUCAAUUGGGAAUGGGUUUUAUUGUGAGAUAUGCAUCCUUCCAAAACCAGCAUUAAUGGGCACCUUUAAAAUACUGAAGAGGAUGAUAACAUUCAAAUAUGAUGUUUUAGUCACAGUUUGGUUCCUGAGUAGAGUGAAAUAAUAAUGGUAAUGAUGAUUGAAGCAAUAAUAGUAAUUAAAAUAAAUAUAACCGUGUAUCAUUCUUGCUAUUGUUGUUUAUUCUUUUCAGAAAGUUUUGUGGCUCAGCAGAAAAGGAAGAUUUUUCAGGCCUUCAUUAACAGGACUAUUACAUCCCAGCGACUGCAGCAAACCACUUCACAAAUCUAAAGCAUUGAAAAUAACUUGAGUUUUCUGCAGAACACCCUGUACUUUAGGUCUCUGCUGUCUCCUGCAACUCAAAUUUGCAUUGUACUCAACAGAUAAACACCAUUAUUAGGGUAGGCAUUUAGGGAAUGAGAUGCAGUCAGUUUUAUUUCAUGCCAAGUUUCAGUCGGCAUCUCACUGUUUCAGUAAGCAGCUUCUUAAUGUGAUGUUAAAUCCCUGCUUUUCUCCAAAUCUCCCUCUCUGGAAUGUGGCUGAUUUGGCAGAGCUGUAUAAACACAUGGAAAAACAGCAGCAAUGCAGGCAAAACGAGACUGCCCCAGAGUGCAGAGGAUCACCCGGAGUGGAGGCAACCAGGAUACGUGCCUUGGUCUGGAAGGUGUGGUGUGUUCCUGUGCUCCCACCAAAGACAGUGGCAGGAGAGCCUGCAUCUCUCUGUGACUCUAUCCCUCAGCAGCAGGAUGGAGAUGAAGAUUUCCUUUUGCUGUCACGUCAGACAAGAGGUAUGUGCUCUGGGGUCACGUUACCACCAGAUGUACUUUGUUAGCAUCAGCUUCACCUCCCACUUCUUCUCACUUAGAACCCAUUGCUUGGACUGUGCAGCAAAUAGAGCUUUUGCUCUCCUAUCACUCAAGCAUUAUAUUCCCAUCAGGAAAAAAAAAAAAAAAGCUGAAUGUCUUAAAAACUUAAAUUCUUGCUAA
Molecule: long non-coding RNA, 1442 nt
Organism: Anser cygnoides (Swan goose)
Lineage: Eukaryota; Metazoa; Chordata; Aves; Anseriformes; Anatidae
Source: Ensembl